This 460-nucleotide ribosomal RNA is filed under the name uncultured bacterium. RNAcentral describes it as "bacterial SSU rRNA". It matches the Rfam family "Bacterial small subunit ribosomal RNA", at positions 29 to 505 of the family's 1533-position model. The record is from RNAcentral.
AUGAACGCUGGCGGCGUGUUUAAGGCAUGCAAGUCGAACGAAGUACUCUCGCAAGAGCAUUACUAGUGGCAAACGGGUGAGUAACACAUUGGUAACCUACCUUCAAGACGGGGAUAGCUCGCCGAAAGGCGAAUUAAUACUCGAUGGUAAUGCGGGGACGCAAGUCAUUCGCAUUUAAAGAUUUAUCGCUUGAAGAGGGGCCUAUGUCUGAUUAGCUAGUUGGCGGAGUAAAAGCCCACCAAGGCUAUGAUCAGUAGCAGGCGUGAGAGCGUGACCUGCUUCACUGGGACUGAGACACUGCCCAGACAUCUACGGAUGGCUGCAGUCAAGAAUCUUCCUCAAUGGACGAAAGUCUGAAGGAGCGACGCCGCGUGUAGGAUGAAGGUCGUCGGAUUGUAAACUACUUUUAUAUGGGAAGAAUUUGUGACGGUACCAUAUGAAUAAGAGGUUGCUAACUCUG